This is a long non-coding RNA of Daktulosphaira vitifoliae (grape phylloxera), 1272 nucleotides long. RefSeq lists it as uncharacterized. The transcript has 2 exons. The record is from RefSeq and is a predicted model, not a curated record. Lineage: Eukaryota; Metazoa; Arthropoda; Insecta; Hemiptera; Phylloxeridae.
CAUAGAAUUUGUGUAAUUAAAUCAUAUUAUUUAAAAUUUUGAACCGUUUUUGUAAGUAAUUGUAUUGACUAUAUGACGUAUAGUGUAGAUCGUAUACGCAGUGCAUUAAUACCAAAAUCAACAUUAAAUUACUUGAAAUAUUAUUGCUGACAAGGCCACGGCGUUGUCAUACGUUUGACACCCCGCGGUCGUAUCAGCUCCUUCUCAGCCACCGCACCACUGUAAACCGGACCGUUACACACACGCGUUAUCGCCGUGGUGUAAAGUCCAACAAAUGCCUAACGUCGAAUACCCGCCGCAAUAAUACGUCGAGUCAGUCAUCUUCGUGACACCGUUACAGUCCUUUGUUCUUUUUACCGUCCGUCAAUACCAUCGGAUCACCACCGCAGUUCUUUUCGAGCAGUUUUGACAUUCGCCGACGAGAAACAUUUUCUACGCUAUCAUUCAACAAUCAGUACUAUUUCAAUGUUAUUACCUUUCUUUCUCUAUUCUUGUUUUUAAAUAAAUCGGCUCGACGCCACCGCAGAAAACUUAAUCUUGUGUCGUCUACUCAUUCAGCAACUACCCACUAACAUUGCAUUACAUAGGACGUAAGCUAAGUAGAAUUUUACCUAUGCUUUCGAACCUCCAACAAUUUCUAAUUAAAUUUUCUUAUUAUUAUCAUAUAUAUUAAUCGUUUAUCUGCUCUUACUCUUUUUUUUAUUUUAUUUUUAGUUUAUUACAGUCUGUGGCAUAUUUUGAACAAUAAUUUCUGAAGUCAUUAACAUUUUUCAAUAUAUAAUUGUGGCAAUAUGCAGAUUGUACUAUUUUUAUCAUUCUAGCGCGUUCUCCUAUUAGCCUGAAGUUAGAAACAUUAUCGUAUAUCGACUACAAGUGUUCCAUGGUUAGCCAAGUUAAAAGUAAGAAAUUACGUACUAUUAUGUAAUAUAGUUUAUUAUUUGUAAUACUGCAAGUAAAAUAUUUUUGUAAUUUUUGGUUUAAUUGUAAUAUAUUGAAUUAUUGUUACUAGACCAGGAAGUAAAUAUUUAUUAAAAAUUUUUGAUUGUAUUGUUAAUGUUGUAAUCGUAAAAAGAAGAAAAACAAAAUAUUUUAGCAUAUAAGACAAAAUGUAAUGAAUUGUAAAGGAGAAGAGAGAGGACCUCGGGAAUGCCAAAGGUAAUCUUUUUUUGCGUGGUUCGCGUUAGUGACAUUAAGUUCUCAUUUUGUGUAUUGUUUUAUUAAGUUUCUUUAUUUUGUAUGUUUUACAUUGUUUAAUUAUAUCUUUAGUAGUUA